ACUCCUACGGGUGGCAGCAGCAAGGGAUCGUGCACAAUGGGCGAAAGCCUGAUGCCGCGACGCCGCGUGAGGGAUGACGGCUUUCGAGUUGUAAACCUCUUUUCUCAGGGAAGAGCGAGGACGUCACCUGAGGAAUAAGUCACGGCUAACUACGUGCCAGCAGCCGCGGUAAUACGUAGGUGGCAAGCGUUGUCCGGAAUUACUGGGCGUAAAGGGUCCGUAGGCGGUUUGGUAAGUCUUCUGUGAAAGCUCCAGGCUCAACUUGGAGUCGUCGGGGGAAACUGCUGAACUAGAGACUGUCAGAGGCAGGUGGAAUUCCCGGUGUAGUGGUGAAAUACGUAGAUAUCGGGAGGAACACCAGUGGCGAAAGCGGCCUGCUGGGGCAGUUCUGACGCUAAGGGACUAAAGCGUGGGGAGCGAACCGGAUUAGAUACCCGGGUAGUCCACGCCCUAAACAAUGAAUGCUAGGUCUUCGGGGUGUUAAUUCCCUGUGGGCCGAAGGUAACCCAUUAAGCAUUUCGCCUGGGGACUACGGCCGCAAGGCUAAAACUCAAAGGAAUUGACGGGUCCCCGCACAAGCAGCGGAGCGUGUGGUUUAAUUCGAUGGUAAGCGAAGAACCUUACCUAGGCUUGACAUGUUUGGUGGUACCGAACCGAAAGGGGAGGGACCCUUCGGGGAGCCUUACACAGGUGUUGCAUGGCCGUCGUCAGCUCGUGUCGUGAGAU
This 726-nucleotide ribosomal RNA is filed under the name uncultured endophytic bacterium. RNAcentral's name for it is "bacterial SSU rRNA". It matches the Rfam family "Bacterial small subunit ribosomal RNA", at positions 335 to 1073 of the family's 1533-position model. The record is from RNAcentral.